Molecule: ribosomal RNA, 292 nt
Filed under: uncultured bacterium
Lineage: Bacteria
Description: partial 16S ribosomal RNA
Rfam family: Bacterial small subunit ribosomal RNA
Source: RNAcentral
GUGUCAGCAGCCGCGGUAAUACGGAGGAGGCAAGCGUUAUCCGGAAUUAUUGGGCGUAAAGCGUCCGUAGGUGGUUUGUCAAGUCAGUUGUUAAAGCGUGGAGCUUAACUCCAUAAGGGCAAUUGAAACUGACAGGCUAGAGUGCGAUAGGGGCAAGGGGAAUUCCCAGUGUAGCGGUGAAAUGCGUAGAUAUUGGGAAGAACAUCGGUGGCGAAAGCGCCUUGCUGGGUCUGCACUGACACUGAGGGACGAAAGCUAGGGGAGCGAAAGGGAUUAGAUACCCCCGUAGUCC